Molecule: ribosomal RNA, 465 nt
Filed under: uncultured Beijerinckia sp.
Lineage: Bacteria; Pseudomonadati; Pseudomonadota; Alphaproteobacteria; Hyphomicrobiales; Beijerinckiaceae
Description: bacterial SSU rRNA
Rfam family: Bacterial small subunit ribosomal RNA
Source: RNAcentral
GUUUAGAGUUUUGGACCUGGCUCAGAACGAACGCUGGCGGCAGGCUUAACACAUGCAAGUCGAACGCCCCGCAAGGGGAGUGGCAGACGGGUGAGUAACGCGUGGGAACAUACCCUUUCCUGCGGAAUAGCUCCGGGAAACUGGAAUUAAUACCGCAUACGCCCUACGGGGGAAAGAUUUAUCGGGGAAGGAUUGGCCCGCGUUGGAUUAGCUAGUUGGUGGGGUAAAGGCCUACCAAGGCGACGAUCCAUAGCUGGUCUGAGAGGAUGAUCAGCCACAUUGGGACUGAGACACGGCCCAAACUCCUACGGGAGGCAGCAGUGGGGAAUAUUGGACAAUGGGCGCAAGCCUGAUCCAGCCAUGCCGCGUGAGUGAUGAAGGCCUUAGGGUUGUAAAGCUCUUUCACCGGAGAAGAUAAUGACGGUAUCCGGAGAAGAAGCCCCGGCUAACUCUCAGAGGCUCGGC